RNAcentral lists this ribosomal RNA (426 nucleotides) under uncultured bacterium. Its description in RNAcentral is "partial 16S ribosomal RNA". It matches the Rfam family "Bacterial small subunit ribosomal RNA", at positions 354 to 796 of the family's 1533-position model. The record is from RNAcentral.
GUGAGGAAUUUUCCGCAAUGGGCGAAAGCCUGACGGAGCAAUGCCGCGUGAAGGAUGAAGGCCUAUGGGUUGUAAACUUCUUUUCUCAGAAAAGAAUUAUGACGGUAUCUGAGGAAUAAGCAUCUGCUAACUCUGUGCCAGCAGCCGCGGUAAGACAGAGGAUGCAAGCGUUAUCCGGAAUGAUUGGGCGUAAAGCGUCUGUAGGUUGUUUAAAAAGUAUUCUGUCAAAGAUUAGGGCUUAACCCUAGAUAGGCAGAAUAAACUUUUAAGCUAGAGUUUGGUAGAGGCAGAGGGAAUUCCCGGUGGAGCGGUGAAAUGCGUAGAUAUCGGGAGGAACACCAAAGGCGAAGGCACUCUGCUGGGCCAAUACUAACACUGAGAGACGAAAGCGAGGGGAGCAAAUGGGAUUAGAAACCCCGGUAGUCC